RNAcentral lists this ribosomal RNA (753 nucleotides) under uncultured Glomeraceae. RNAcentral's name for it is "SSU rRNA". It matches the Rfam family "Eukaryotic small subunit ribosomal RNA", at positions 338 to 1092 of the family's 1831-position model. Lineage: Eukaryota; Fungi; Glomeromycota; Glomeromycetes; Glomerales; Glomeraceae. The record is from RNAcentral.
GGCCUACCAUGGUGGUAACGGGUAACGGGGUGUUAGGGCACGACACCGGAGAGGGAGCCUGAGAAACGGCUACCACAUCCAAGGAUGGCAGCAGGCGCGCAAAUUACCCAAUCCCGACACGGGGAGGUAGUGACAAUAAAUAACAAUACGGGGUUCUUUUGGAUUUCGUAAUUGGAAUGAGUACAAUUUAAAUCUCUUAACGAGGAACAAUUGGAGGGCAAGUCUGGUGCCAGCAGCCGCGGUAAUUCCAGCUCCAAUAGCGUAUAUUAAAGUUGUUGCAGUUAAAAAGCUCGUAGUUGAAUUUCGGGAUCAGCAGGUUGGUCGUGCCACUGGUAUGAACUGGCCUUGCUGGUUCCUCCUUCUUGAAGAACCGUGAUGCCAUUAAUUUGGUGUUGCGGGGAAACAGGACUGUUACUUUGAAAAAAUUAGAGUGUUUAAAGCAGGCUAACGCCUGAAUACAUUAGCAUGGAAUAAUAAAAUAGGACGUUUGAUCCUAUUUUGUUGGUUUCUAGGGUUGACGUAAUGAUUAAUAGGGAUAGUUGGGGGCAUUAGUAUUCAAUUGUCAGAGGUGAAAUUCUUGGAUUUAUUGAAGACUAACUACUGCGAAAGCAUUUGCCAAGGAUGUUUUCAUUAAUCAAGAACGAAAGUUAGGGGAUCGAAGACGAUCAGAUACCGUCGUAGUCUUAACCAUAAACUAUGCCGACUAGGGAUCGGAUGAUGUUAAUUUUUUAAUGACUCAUUCGGCGCCUUACG